Long non-coding RNA from Megalobrama amblycephala (Wuchang bream), 262 nucleotides. RefSeq lists it as uncharacterized. The transcript is spliced from 2 exons. The record is from RefSeq and is a predicted model, not a curated record. NCBI's taxonomy places the organism in Eukaryota, Metazoa, Chordata, Actinopteri, Cypriniformes, Xenocyprididae.
CAUAGAGACGCUUUCAUCUUUAAUAGGAAAAAUAGUCUAAAAUAGUAUAAUGGUUCACAUGUCUAAACAUAUUUUCUUUAUAGUUUGGCUUAUUUUUCAAACUCUUCUAAGAGAUGCUCAUCAAGCUGAGCACAAAGAGAAACACUUCCUGCACUACAAGUUUACAGUCCUGACUAAAGCAGACACAUUCCCAGAGUUCAGUGCUGUGGGUGUGUGUGAUGACAGACAGAUCAAACACUACAAUAAUGAAGAAAGAGUCUGG